UAUCUUUGGGGGCAAUACGCCAUUCCGUGAGCACUAGCCGGGGCGUAAUUUGUCUUGCGGAAAGAGGGCUUUCCUCGACUCGACUUAUAAAUUUGGUUUGCUUUAUUUCCAUUGUAAUUUUCAUUCCUCUUUUUGUUGCAAGUUUCCUUUCGAUUGUAAUAGUUAGAGUACCGCUUGUACACGGCUUGGGAAUCUCUUCCCAUUAUUUCUAACAGUCGUUUUUACCACCUCUUCGACUGUUAGAAAUAAUGGGAAGAGAUUCCCAAGCCGUGUACAAGCGGUACUCUAACUAUUACAAUCGAAAGGAAACUUGCAACAAAAAGAGGAAUGAAAAUUACAAUGGAAAUAAAGCAAACCAAAUUUAUAAGUCGAGUCGAGGAAAGCCCUCUUUCCGCAAGACAAAUUACACCCCGGCUAGUGCUCACGGAAUGGCGUAUUGCCCCCAAAGAUAAAACGACUUCC
Salvia splendens (bonfire salvia) is the source of this 462-nucleotide small nucleolar RNA. RefSeq annotates it as small nucleolar RNA snR86. NCBI's taxonomy places the organism in Eukaryota, Viridiplantae, Streptophyta, Magnoliopsida, Lamiales, Lamiaceae. The record is from RefSeq and is a predicted model, not a curated record. The transcript has a single exon.